RNAcentral lists this ribosomal RNA (414 nucleotides) under uncultured bacterium. RNAcentral describes it as "bacterial SSU rRNA". It matches the Rfam family "Archaeal small subunit ribosomal RNA", at positions 329 to 745 of the family's 1478-position model. The record is from RNAcentral.
UGCGCAGCAGUCGCGAAAACUUCGCAAUGGGGGCAACCCCGACGAGGGAAUUCCAAGUGCCAGCACUUUGUGUUGGCUGUUCUCCUGUCUAAAAAACAGGAGGAGUAAGGGGCGGGUAAGACGGGUGCCAGCCGCCGCGGUAAUACCCGCGCCCCUAGUGGUGGUCGAUAUUAUUGAGCCUAAAACGUCCGUAGCCGGUCUUCUAAAUCCUUGGGUAAAUCGGGCAGCUUAACUGUCCGAAGUCCGGGGAGACUGGGAGACUUGGGACCGGGAGAGGUCAGAGGUACUUCUGGGGUAGGGGUAAAAUCCUGUAAUCCUGGAAGGACCACCGGUGGCGAAGGCGUCUGACUAGAACGGAUCCGACGGUGAGGGACGAAGCCCUGGGGCGCAAACGGGCUUAGAUACCCUGGUAGC